This 403-nucleotide ribosomal RNA is filed under the name Paracoccus sp. R-28237. RNAcentral's name for it is "bacterial SSU rRNA". It matches the Rfam family "Bacterial small subunit ribosomal RNA", at positions 22 to 453 of the family's 1533-position model. Lineage: Bacteria; Pseudomonadati; Pseudomonadota; Alphaproteobacteria; Rhodobacterales; Paracoccaceae. The record is from RNAcentral.
GCUCAGAACGAACGCUGGCGGCAGGCCUAACACAUGCAAGUCGAGCGAGAUCUUCGGAUCUAGCGGCGGACGGGUGAGUAACGCGUGGGAAUAUGCCCUUCUCUACGGAAUAGCCUCGGGAAACUGGGAGUAAUACCGUAUACGCCCUUUGGGGGAAAGAUUUAUCGGAGAAGGAUUAGCCCGCGUUGGAUUAGGUAGUUGGUGGGGUAAUGGCCUACCAAGCCUACGAUCCAUAGCUGGUUUGAGAGGAUGAUCAGCCACACUGGGACUGAGACACGGCCCAGACUCCUACGGGAGGCAGCAGUGGGGAAUCUUAGACAAUGGGGGAAACCCUGAUCUAGCCAUGCCGCGUGAGUGAUGAAGGCCUUAGGGUUGUAAAGCUCUUUCAGCUGGGAAGAUAAUG